RNAcentral lists this ribosomal RNA (488 nucleotides) under uncultured bacterium. RNAcentral describes it as "partial 16S ribosomal RNA". It matches the Rfam family "Bacterial small subunit ribosomal RNA", at positions 30 to 523 of the family's 1533-position model. The record is from RNAcentral.
AUUGAACGCUGGCGGCAGGCCUAACACAUGCAAGUCGAGCGGGGUUUUCGGACCUAGCGGCGGACGGGUGAGUAAUGCGUAGGAAGCUGCCCGAUAGAGGGGGAUACCAGUUGGAAACGACUGUUAAUACCGCAUAAUGUCUACGGACCAAAGUGUGGGACCUUCGGGCCACAUGCUAUCGGAUGCGCCUACGUGGGAUUAGCUAGUUGGUGAGAUAAUGGCUCACCAAGGCGAUGAUCUCUAGCUGGUUUGAGAGGAUGAUCAGCCACACUGGAACUGAGACACGGUCCAGACUCCUACGGGAGGCAGCAGUGGGGAAUAUUGGACAAUGGGCGCAAGCCUGAUCCAGCCAUGAGGCGUGUGUGAAGAAGGCCUUCGGGUUGUAAAGCACUUUCAGCGAGGAGGAAGGGUGGUGUGUUAAUAGCACAUCAUUUUGACGUUACUCGCAGAAGAAGCACCGGCUAACUCUGUGCCAGCAGCCGCAGUAA